GUAGGGAAUAUUGCACAAUGGGCGCAAGCCUGAUGCAGCAACGCCGCGUGCGCGAUGAAGGCCUUCGGGUUGUAAAGCGCUUUUCGGGGAGAUGAGGAAGGACAGUAUCCCCGGAAUAAGUCUCGGCUAACUACGUGCCAGCAGCCGCGGUAAAACGUAGGAGGCGAGCGUUAUCCGAAUUUACUGGGCGUAAAGCGUGUGCAGGCGGUUCGGUAAGUUGGAUGUGAAAUCUCCUGGCUCAACUGGGAGAGGUCGUUCAAGACUGUCGGACUAGAGGGCGGUAGAGGGAGGUGGAAUUCCCGGUGUAGUGGUGAAAUGCGUAGAUAUCGGGAGGAACACCUGUGGCGAAAGCGGCCUCCUGGGCCGCACCUGACGCUCAGACACGAAAGCUAGGGGAGCAAACGGGAUUAGAAACCCGAGUAGUCC
This 426-nucleotide ribosomal RNA is filed under the name uncultured bacterium. Its description in RNAcentral is "bacterial SSU rRNA". It matches the Rfam family "Bacterial small subunit ribosomal RNA", at positions 354 to 796 of the family's 1533-position model. The record is from RNAcentral.